UACGUAGGGUGCGAGCGUUGUCCGGAAUUAUUGGGCGUAAAGAGCUCGUAGGCGGUUUGUUGCGUCGGCCGUGAAAACCUGCAGCUUAACUGUGGGCCUGCGGCCGAUACGGGCAGACUUGAGUUCGGUAGGGGAGACUGGAAUUCCUGGUGUAGCGGUGAAAUGCGCAGAUAUCUGGAGGAACACCGGUGGCGAAGGCGGCAUCCUGGAUCGGCAUUGACGCUGAGGCGCGAAAGCCAGGGGAGCAAACGGG
This 253-nucleotide ribosomal RNA is filed under the name uncultured bacterium. Its description in RNAcentral is "partial 16S ribosomal RNA". It matches the Rfam family "Bacterial small subunit ribosomal RNA", at positions 524 to 776 of the family's 1533-position model. The record is from RNAcentral.